UACGGUGGCGACAGCGAAAAGGCCCCACCCGUUCCCAUGCCGAACACGGAAGUUAAGCUUUUCAGCGCCAAUGAUAAUUGGGGGGCGACCCCCUGUGAAAGUAGGACGCUGCCGUGC
This 117-nucleotide ribosomal RNA is filed under the name Sinobaca qinghaiensis. The record is from RNAcentral. Lineage: Bacteria; Bacillati; Bacillota; Bacilli; Caryophanales; Sporolactobacillaceae.